Molecule: ribosomal RNA, 254 nt
Filed under: uncultured bacterium
Lineage: Bacteria
Description: partial 16S ribosomal RNA
Rfam family: Bacterial small subunit ribosomal RNA
Source: RNAcentral
UACGGGGGGAGCAAGCGUUGUUCGGAUUUACUGGGCGUAAAGGGCGCGUAGGCGGUCAGCACAAGUCAGUUGUGAAAUCUCCGGGCUUAACUCCGAAACUGCAUUCGAUACUGCGGUGCUUGAGGACUGGAGAGGAGACUGGAAUUCAUGGUGUAGCAGUGAAAUGCGUAGAGAUCAUGAGGAAGACCAGUGGCGAAGGCGGGUCUCUGGGCCGAUACUGACGCUGAGGAGCGAAAGCGUGGGGAGCGAACAGG